CCUGAUGCAGCGACGCCGCGUGAGGGAUGACGGCCUUCGGGUUGUAAACCUCUUUCAGCAGGGACGAAGCGCAAGUGACGGUACCUGCAGAAGAAGCACCGGCCAACUACGUGCCAGCAGCCGCGGUAAUACGUAGGGUGCGAGCGUUGUCCGGAAUUACUGGGCGUAAAGAGUUCGUAGGCGGUUUGUCGCGUCGUCUGUGAAAACCCACCGCUCAACGGUGGGCCUGCAGGCGAUACGGGCAGACUUGAGUACUGCAGGGGAGACUGGAAUUCCUGGUGUAGCGGUGAAAUGCGCAGAUAUCAGGAGGAACACCGGUGGCGAAGGCGGGUCUCUGGGCAGUAACUGACGCUGAGGAACGAAAGCGUGGGUAGCAAACAGGAUUAGAUACCCUGGUAGUCCCACGCCGUAAACGGUGGGCGCUAGGUGUGGGUUCCUUCCACGGGGAUCUGUGCCGUAGCUCACGCAUUAAGCGCCCCGCCUGGGGAGUACGGCCGCAAGGCUAAAACUCACAGGAAUUGACGGGGGGCCCGCACAAGCGGCGGAGCAUGUGGAUUAAUUCGAUGCAACGCGGAGAAACCUUACCUGGGUUUGACAUGUACUGGAAAAGCCGUAGAGAUACGCCCCCCCUUGUGG
RNAcentral lists this ribosomal RNA (636 nucleotides) under Rhodococcus sp. So3Ps_1827. Its description in RNAcentral is "bacterial SSU rRNA". It matches the Rfam family "Bacterial small subunit ribosomal RNA", at positions 382 to 1024 of the family's 1533-position model. The record is from RNAcentral. Lineage: Bacteria; Bacillati; Actinomycetota; Actinomycetes; Mycobacteriales; Nocardiaceae.